CCUACGGGAUGCUGCAGUGGGGAAUAUUGGGCAAUGGGCGCAAGCCUGACCCAGCAACGCCGCGUGAAGGAAGAAGGCUUUCGGGUUGUAAACUUCUUUUCUCAGGGACGAAGCAAGUGACGGUACCUUAGGAAUAAGCCACUGCUAACUACGUGCCAGCAGCCGCGGUAAGACGUAGGUGGCACGCGUUAUCCGGAUUUACUGGGUGUAAAGGGCGUGUAGGCGGGGACGCAAGUCAGAUGUGAAAACCACGGGCUCAACCUGUGGCCUGCAUUUGAAACUGUGUUUCUUGAGUACUGGAGAGGCAGACGGAAUUCCUGGUGUAGCGGUGAAAUGCGUAGAUAUUAGGAGGAACACCAGUGGCGAAGGCGGUCUGCUGGACAGCAACUGACGCUGAGGCGCGAAAGCGUGGGGAGCAAACAGGAUUAGAUACCCCUGUAGUC
RNAcentral lists this ribosomal RNA (443 nucleotides) under uncultured bacterium. Its description in RNAcentral is "partial 16S ribosomal RNA". It matches the Rfam family "Bacterial small subunit ribosomal RNA", at positions 338 to 795 of the family's 1533-position model. The record is from RNAcentral.